This 429-nucleotide ribosomal RNA is filed under the name Pseudomonadota bacterium. Its description in RNAcentral is "Proteobacteria bacterium partial 16S ribosomal RNA". It matches the Rfam family "Bacterial small subunit ribosomal RNA", at positions 355 to 776 of the family's 1533-position model. Lineage: Bacteria; Pseudomonadati; Pseudomonadota. The record is from RNAcentral.
UGGGGAAUAUUGGACAAUGGGCGAAAGCCUGAUCCAGCCAUGCCGCGUGUGUGAAGAAGGUCUUCGGAUUGUAAAGCACUUUAAGUUGGGAGGAAGGGCAGUAAGCGAAUACCUUGCUGUUUUGACGUUACCGACAGAAUAAGCACCGGCUAACUCUGUGCCAGCAGCCGCGGUAAUACAGAGGGUGCAAGCGUUAAUCGGAAUUACUGGGCGUAAAGCGCGCGUAGGUGGUUCGUUAAGUUGAAUGUGAAAGCCCCGGGCUCAACCUGGGAACUGCAGCCAAAACUGGCGAGCUAGAGUAGGGCAGAAGGUGGUGGAAUUUCCUGUGUAGCGGUGAAAUGCGGAGAUAUAGGAAGGAACACCAGUGGCGAAGGCGACCACCUGGGCUCAUACUGACACUGAGGUGCGAAAGCGUGGGGAGCAAACAGG